GACGAACGCUGGCGGCGCGCCUAACACAUGCAAGUCGAACGGAGCUGCGAGAAGCUUGCUUUUCUUAGCUUAGUGGCGAACGGGUGAGUAACGCGUGAGUAACCUGCCCUGGAGUGGGGGACAACAGUUGGAAACGACUGCUAAUACCGCAUAAGCCCACGAUCCGGCAUCGGAUUGAGGGAAAAGGAUUUAUUCGCUUCAGGAUGGACUCGCGUCCAAUUAGCUAGUUGGUGAGGUAACGGCCCACCAAGGCGACGAUUGGUAGCCGGACUGAGAGGUUGAACGGCCACAUUGGGACUGAGACACGGCCCAGACUCCUACGGGAGGCAGCAGUGGGGGAUAUUGCACAAUGGGGGAAACCCUGAUGCAGCGACGCCGCGUGGAGGAAGAAGGUUUUCGGAUUGUAAACUCCUGUCGUUAGGGACGAUAAUGGCGGUACCUAACAAGAAAGCACCGGCUAACUACGUG
RNAcentral lists this ribosomal RNA (468 nucleotides) under uncultured bacterium. RNAcentral describes it as "partial 16S ribosomal RNA". It matches the Rfam family "Bacterial small subunit ribosomal RNA", at positions 28 to 507 of the family's 1533-position model. The record is from RNAcentral.